RNA transcript from Aptenodytes forsteri (emperor penguin), 325 nucleotides. RefSeq lists it as uncharacterized. The record is from RefSeq and is a predicted model, not a curated record. Lineage: Eukaryota; Metazoa; Chordata; Aves; Sphenisciformes; Spheniscidae. The transcript has 2 exons.
CAUCAUUGAGAAGGGGGAAGAAAACUGUGGGCCCCUGAUCGAAGCUCACAAAGAGUGUAUGAGAGCUCUGGGCUUCAAGAUAUAAGUGAGAUGAGCAGGACUGUGAAUGUGAUGAUGUCUGUGGUGUGACUGUGCUCUGGAAAGCUGCAAAAUACAUUAUUUCUGCAAGUUACUUCAAAGAACAAAUAUAAACAAAGAAUCUAUUUAUGAAGAGUCUCUAAUGAUAGAUUGUGCAUCGCGUCUGUGGCUUUUCCACUGUUAGUUCUUGACCGCUGCUAUAGAAAAUAUAUUUUUUCCUCUAAAUAAAAGUCUGAAAAUGACCGGU